This is a non-coding RNA of Lonchura striata (white-rumped munia), 156 nucleotides long. The record is from RefSeq and is a predicted model, not a curated record. NCBI's taxonomy places the organism in Eukaryota, Metazoa, Chordata, Aves, Passeriformes, Estrildidae.
UCUCGAUCCGGCUCCUCUGGAGCUCCGUCAGGGCUGCGCCGCUGCCGAGCAGGGCAUGAAAAAAAGAAAACUCAGAACAGAACCAAGAGUGAUCUUGCUGAGCUAAAGCAGCAAAGGGAAGAUCUGGCUGCUGGUACUUUCCAGUGCCCACCUGGC